UGCGAUAAGCGCCGGUAAGGUGAUAUGAACCGUUAUAACCGGCGAUUUCCGAAUGGGGAAACCCAGUGUGACUCGUCACACUAUCAUUAACUGAAUCCAUAGGUUAAUGAGGCGAACCGGGGGAACUGAAACAUCUAAGUACCCCGAGGAAAAGAAAUCAACCGAGAUUCCCCCAGUAGCGGCGAGCGAACGGGGAGGAGCCCAGAGCCUGAAUCAGCAUGUGUGUUAGUGGAAGCGUCUGGAAAGGCGCGCGAUACAGGGUGACAGCCCCGUACACAAAAGCGCAUGUGCUGUGAGCUCGAUGAGUAGGGCGGGACACGUGGUAUCCUGUCUGAAUAUGGGGGGACCAUCCUCCAAGGCUAAAUACUCCUGACUGACCGAUAGUGAACCAGUACCGUGAGGGAAAGGCGAAAAGAACCCCGGCGAGGGGAGUGAAAAAGAACCUGAAACCGUGUACGUACAAGCAGUGGGAGCCCCACCACUAAGCCAGUGGUGAACUCCACAUACGCAUCCUUUGCUGAGGAUACGGUUAACGGAGCGAAAGCGACGUUCAACCUCAAAAGAAGCAGAGGGGGCUUAGUGGUGGGGUGACUGCGUACCUUUUGUAUAAUGGGUCAGCGACUUAUAUUCUGUAGCAAGGUUAACCGUAUAGGGGAGCCGCAGGGAAACCGAGUCUUAACCGGGCGUUAAGUUGCAGGGUAUAGACCCGAAACCCGGUGAUCUAGCCAUGGGCAGGUUGAAGGUUGGGUAACACUAACUGGAGGACCGAACCGACUAAUGUUGAAAAAUUAGCGGAUGACCUGUGGCUGGGGGUGAAAGGCCAAUCAAACCGGGAGAUAGCUGGUUCUCCCCGAAAGCUAUUUAGGUAGCGCCUCGUGAACUCAUCUCCGGGGGUAGAGCACUGUUUCGGCUAGGGGGCCAUCCCGGCUUACCAACCCGAUGCAAACUGCGAAUACCGGAGAAUGUUAUCACGGGAGACACACGGCGGGUGCUAACGUCCGUCGUGAAGAGGGAAACAACCCAGACCGCCAGCUAAGGUCCCAAAGUCAUGGUUAAGUGGGAAACGAUGUGGGAAGGCCCAGACAGCCAGGAUGUUGGCUUAGAAGCAGCCAUCAUUUAAAGAAAGCGUAAUAGCUCACUGGUCGAGUCGGCCUGCGCGGAAGAUGUAACGGGGCUAAACCAU
Molecule: ribosomal RNA, 1183 nt
Filed under: Salmonella enterica subsp. enterica serovar Poona
Lineage: Bacteria; Pseudomonadati; Pseudomonadota; Gammaproteobacteria; Enterobacterales; Enterobacteriaceae
Description: partial 23S ribosomal RNA
Rfam family: Bacterial large subunit ribosomal RNA
Source: RNAcentral